AGAAAAUAGUAGUCAUGUUUUGGUCAUUCUGAGAUAGUCAUGGAAAAUUACAACACAGAUGUUCAUACGGGAUCUUCCUUCUAUUGCCCAGUGCCCCGUGAAGCCCUUGAACAAAACCAGAAGAAAGUGAAAAAUAAACAGCCUUAUACGGUUGUCAUCAUCCUAUCCCCAGUGAUGGAGCCAUACUUGGGUCUGAAAUAUUUUGACACAGAUGAAGCAAGUCUUUGCAAUUUCCAAAGGAAAGGCUUCUGUGACACACUCUCUUGUUUGAAGGAGUGACAAUAACCUGAGAAUUGCUGGUAGUAUUAUUUGUUGUUAUUACUGUCAUCAAAAGAUAUUUAAUUAGAAUCUCUUUUAUAUGUGACUGAUAAAGCCAGUGAAAUGGUCACACUGAUUCUACAGUAAGCCAUUUUUGAGCACCUAUUAUACACAAAGCACUGUGCAGGAAGGUUGCAUAGUAAGUUGAGUGUGACCCAGACUCCAACUCUGAGAAGCUUAUAAUAGGGUGAAGGAGACAGAGACAGAAAGGCAGGCUCUUAAUCCAGGGAACUACAGGAGGUAAGCACAAGGGAGACAGAAGCAGAGGCGGGAGACGUGACUUAGCCUUACCUUCCGAAACUCCACACUGGCAUGAGGAAUAGUGAUAUGCACUUGUGGAGGAAUGGUCUAUAGAAUGAGGAUAAAGAGGUUAAAGUUUUGCGAUAUCUUUCAAUUAGUGAUUCUGUAACCAAAACCCAGAGAAGCAGGUUAUGAUGGAGUCAUCAGCAACACAUCCCUUUUUAGCUUAACUUAGGAGUUCUCUUAAAUCAGGGUGCUAAGUGGGAACCAAAAAAACCCCAGCUUUGUCUGUCCGAGCUUGCACUGACUGGGCCACGUCGGGUGGGUUGCUUAUUCAUUUGCCCAACGUAUUUUAUUCCAGUAAUCAUUCAUGGCAGUCACUCAAUGUCUCUGAGCACUAGUUUCUGCAAAACUUUAUGUAUGACAUAAAGUAUAACAUACUUUAUGCCCAUAGAAGUAUCUACUCUGUUGUGAGGGUAAAUUAGACAACAUAGCCAACCUGAAAAGUCUAAUUCUAAUGAAUUUGUAAUGAAAUAUUAUCCUAAGUGAUUAUUUCCUAAACCUGUAAAUGUAAUCAGUUUCUUAAUUAUCUGUGCAUGUUCACACAUAGUUAAAGACAUUAAGUUGAUGUGUUUCUAAA
Long non-coding RNA from Homo sapiens (human), 1198 nucleotides. Lineage: Eukaryota; Metazoa; Chordata; Mammalia; Primates; Hominidae. The record is from Ensembl.